RNAcentral lists this ribosomal RNA (497 nucleotides) under uncultured bacterium. RNAcentral's name for it is "partial 16S ribosomal RNA". It matches the Rfam family "Bacterial small subunit ribosomal RNA", at positions 28 to 507 of the family's 1533-position model. The record is from RNAcentral.
GAUGAACGCUGGCGGCGUGCCUAAUACAUGCAAGUCGAGCGAACAGAUAAGGAGCUUGCUCCUUUGACGUUAGCGGCGGACGGGUGAGUAACACGUGGGUAACCUAUCUAUAAGACUGGAAUAACUCCGGGAAACCGGGGCUAAUGCCGGAUAACAUGUUGAACCGCAUGGUUCUACAGUGAAAGGCGGCGUUGCUGUCACGUAUAGAUGGACCCGCGCCGUAUUAGAUAGUUGGUGGGGUAACGGCUCACGAAGGCAACGAUACGUAGCCGACCGGAGAGGGGGGUCGGCCACACUGGAACUGGGACACGGUCCAGACGACUAAGGGAGGCCGCAGAAGGGUAUCGGCCGCAAUGGGCGAAAGUCUGACGGAACAACGCCACGUGAGUUACGAAGGUGUUCGGAGCGUAAAACUCGGUUAUUAGGGAAGAACCAAUGCCUACGUAACUGUGCGCGUAUUGACGGUACCUAAUCAGAAAGCCACGGCUAACUACGUG